GGUUAAGCGACUAAGCGUACACGGUGGAUGCCCUGGCAGUCAGAGGCGAUGAAGGACGUGCUAAUCUGCGAAAAGCGUCGGUAAGGUGAUAUGAACCGUUAUAACCGGCGAUGUCCGAAUGGGGAAACCCAGUGCAAUUCGUUGCACUAUCGUUAACUGAAUACAUAGGUUAACGAGGCGAACCGGGGGAACUGAAACAUCUAAGUACCCCGAGGAAAAGAAAUCAACCGAGAUUCCCCCAGUAGCGGCGAGCGAACGGGGAGCAGCCCAGAGUCUGAAUCAGCUUGUGUGUUAGUGGAACGGUCUGGAAAGUCCGACGGUACAGGGUGAUAGUCCCGUACACCAAAAUGCACAGGCUGUGAACUCGAAGAGUAGGGCGGGACACGUGGUAUCCUGUCUGAAUAUGGGGGGACCAUCCUCCAAGGCUAAAUACUCCUGACUGACCGAUAGUGAACCAGUACCGUGAGGGAAAGGCGAAAAGAACCCCGGCGAGGGGAGUGAAAAAGAACCUGAAACCGUGUACGUACAAGCAGUGGGAGCACCUUCGGGUGUGACUGCGUACCUUUUGUAUAAUGGGUCAGCGACUUAUAUUCUGUAGCAAGGUUAACCGUAUAGGGGAGCCGCAGGGAAACCGAGUCUUAACUGGGCGUUAAGUUGCAGGGUAUAGACCCGAAACCCGGUGAUCUAGCCAUGGGCAGGUUGAAGGUUGGGUAACACUAACUGGAGGACCGAACCGACUAAUGUUGAAAAAUUAGCGGAUGACUUGUGGCUGGGGGUGAAAGGCCAAUCAAACCGGGAGAUAGCUGGUUCUCCCCGAAAGCUAUUUAGGUAGCGCCUCGUGAACUCAUCUUCGGGGGUAGAGCACUGUUUCGGCUAGGGGGUCAUCCCGACUUACCAACCCGAUGCAAACUACGAAUACCGAAGAAUGUUAUCACGGGAGACACACGGCGGGUGCUAACGUCCGUCGUGAAGAGGGAAACAACCCAGACCGCCAGCUAAGGUCCCAAAGUCAUGGUUAAGUGGGAAACGAUGUGGGAAGGCACAGACAGCCAGGAUGUUGGCUUAGAAGCAGCCAUCAUUUAAAGAAAGCGUAAUAGCUCACUGGUCGAGUCGGCCUGCGCGGAAGAUGUAACGGGGCUAAACCAUGCACCGAAGCUGCGGCAGCGACACUAUGUGUUGUUGGGUAGGGGAGCGUUCUGUAAGCCUGCGAAGGUGACCUGUGAGGGUUGCUGGAGGUAUCAGAAGUGCGAAUGCUGACAUAAGUAACGAUAAAGCGGGUGAAAAGCCCGCUCGCCGGAAGACCAAGGGUUCCUGUCCAACGUUAAUCGGGGCAGGGUGAGUCGACCCCUAAGGCGAGGCCGAAAGGCGUAGUCGAUGGGAAACAGGUUAAUAUUCCUGUACUUGGUGUUACUGCGAAGGGGGGACGGAGAAGGCUAUGUUAGCCGGGCGACGGUUGUCCCGGUUUAAGCAUGUAGGCUGGUUAUCCAGGCAAAUCCGGAUAAUCAAGGCUGAGGUGUGAUGACGAGGCACUACGGUGCUGAAGUAACAAAUGCCCUGCUUCCAGGAAAAGCCUCUAAGCAUCAGGUAACAUUAAAUCGUACCCCAAACCGACACAGGUGGUCAGGUAGAGAAUACCAAGGCGCUUGAGAGAACUCGGGUGAAGGAACUAGGCAAAAUGGUGCCGUAACUUCGGGAGAAGGCACGCUGGUGUGUAGGUGAAGCCCCUGCGGGUGGAGCUGAGACCAGUCGAAGAUACCAGCUGGCUGCAACUGUUUAUUAAAAACACAGCACUGUGCAAACACGAAAGUGGACGUAUACGGUGUGACGCCUGCCCGGUGCCGGAAGGUUAAUUGAUGGGGUUAUCCGUAAGGAGAAGCUCUUGAUCGAAGCCCCGGUAAACGGCGGCCGUAACUAUAACGGUCCUAAGGUAGCGAAAUUCCUUGUCGGGUAAGUUCCGACCUGCACGAAUGGCGUAAUGAUGGCCAGGCUGUCUCCACCCGAGACUCAGUGAAAUUGAACUCGCUGUGAAGAUGCAGUGUACCCGCGGCAAGACGGAAAGACCCCGUGAACCUUUACUAUAGCUUGACACUGAACAUUGAGCCUUGAUGUGUAGGAUAGGUGGGAGGCUUUGAAGCGUGGACGCCAGUCUGCGUGGAGCCAACCUUGAAAUACCACCCUUUAAUGUUUGAUGUUCUAACGUUGGCCCCUUACCGGGGUUGCGGACAGUGUCUGGUGGGUAGUUUGACUGGGGCGGUCUCCUCCCAAAGCGUAACGGAGGAGCACGAAGGUUAGCUAAUCCUGGUCGGACAUCAGGAGGUUAGUGCAAUGGCAUAAGCUAGCUUGACUGCGAGCGUGACGGCGCGAGCAGGUGCGAAAGCAGGUCAUAGUGAUCCGGUGGUUCUGAAUGGAAGGGCCAUCGCUCAACGGAUAAAAGGUACUCCGGGGAUAACAGGCUGAUACCGCCCAAGAGUUCAUAUCGACGGCGGUGUUUGGCACCUCGAUGUCGGCUCAUCACAUCCUGGGGCUGAAGUAGGUCCCAAGGGUAUGGCUGUUCGCCAUUUAAAGUGGUACGCGAGCUGGGUUUAGAACGUCGUGAGACAGUUCGGUCCCUAUCUGCCGUGGGCGCUGGAGAAUUGAGGGGGGCUGCUCCUAGUACGAGAGGACCGGAGUGGACGCAUCACUGGUGUUCGGGUUGUCAUGCCAAUGGCACUGCCCGGUAGCUAAAUGCGGAAGAGAUAAGUGCUGAAAGCAUCUAAGCACGAAACUUGCCCCGAGAUGAGUUCUCCCUGAGACUUUAAGUCUCCUGAAGGAACGUUAAAGACGAUGACGUUGAUAGGCCGGGUGUGUAAGCGCAGCGAUGCGUUGAGCUAACCGGUACUAAUGAACCGUGAGGCUUAACCUU
RNAcentral lists this ribosomal RNA (2902 nucleotides) under Klebsiella pneumoniae. RNAcentral describes it as "23S ribosomal RNA". It matches the Rfam family "Bacterial large subunit ribosomal RNA". Lineage: Bacteria; Pseudomonadati; Pseudomonadota; Gammaproteobacteria; Enterobacterales; Enterobacteriaceae. The record is from RNAcentral.